GUGAAGCUGGUGAGUAAUUGGGCUAAAUAAGAAUUUUCCCCAGGUGAAAAUGGGGACCCGAACUGAAAAUGGAGGAAACCCACCUCCUGAGUCUUUGGUGAAAGAGUGAAGCUACAUUCCAGACUACGACUUUAUGACCUUUCUAUCACUUGGUAAGGAGUGAUCCCAAAAAGUGGCGUGAUCCUUGCAAGUGAGUAAGAUGCCUGCCUUCCUGGAGGCCCGGAGAAAUUGAGGGAGGGAAAGCGUCCUUCAAGAUGCGGCUUCCUUUUUGCAGAAGUGCUACUCUGUUGAAGUUUAUACAGAAUUGUCAGUUAAUGAAGUGUCGUCACAGACCACACUCUCAGCAGCAGCUCAAAACAGUUCAGGACAACACAGAAGAAGGGAAAAUAGAAGGAAUCACGCAAGGCAGUGGGACUAGGAAUCCCUUUUAAAGUUUCUCUAAAUCACUUAAAGUCAUCUAUCCUUCGUCAUGAGAAGAUACCUGUUGGAACAGAAGUAAAGCCGCUCCUGACGUAGGAAGGGUUAAUAAUCACUGGAAAAGGCUUGCCAACAAACUGUGACCCGGAGGUCAGAAGGCCGGUUAGCCAAUGACAGAAAGUGGCUGUCUAUGCUGUAAAGAUAGAGAUUUUUGUUUCUAUGGAACUGAGAUUCAAGGGUGUCACAUAUGGUAAAUAGAACAUGUAUUUCAAAGUCUAAUUUGUGUGUUCAAAAUCAACUGAAUAUAUGUCAAAUCUGUGUAAGAAACAAGUGAAUUCAUAUGCAAUUGUAAUUUGAUAGAAUCUCUAUGAAUAAGAUCAGAUCCUCUGUAAACGGCAAGCUUAGGAGUUUUGUACUAUUAGCUGUAAGAGCCAAGCUGUUUUGGUGAUUUUAGUGGUCUUUAGCUCAUUUUGAGAAAAUAACACUUAGCAUCUUGUUCCACACUGUACCUCUAAAGCAUGUGAAGAUCAAGAGCGUAAAUAUCCAUUUCAUAGAUUUUUUAAAUUAAUUUGGUAUUAUUUUUGUUAUUUUCUCUACAUAGGUCACUGAGUUGCCAUAGCCAAUGGAAUUUUUCAGGUUGCAAAGGGCUUAUCACAAUUUUAUAUCUUUACUUUCUUGUAUUUAUUUCUAGUACUUGGGAAAACUAGUUUAAUAUGGACUGCAUGUGAUGUGGCUCUGGUCAUGGCCAAUGAGGGAACAGAAAAAGAUACAAAGGCAAUAUUUGGAAAAAGGGGAGAAAAAAAGUGGAAAAAUAUUUGACCCCUAUAAGGAAUAGUAAAAGUAUAACCAUCAGGAACUCUAAAUGUUUGGAGAGAAUAAAAUCAUAUAGAUCUGAAAAUGCGGACAUGAGAAAAAGUGCUAAUCUCAAGCAUGUUCAUGUAAAGUAAAGGUGUAGGCUCUUACAGUGCCUCAUGCUGAGCUAGUUAUGUGUGACCAUGUAUACGUUUAAGUUGAUUUAUUAAACCAAUUUCUUUAUCACUUCAUAAUAGCACACAAUAGUGGCAUUUUGAUGCAUCAUGCCUCUUCAGGGUAGCAACCUGAUGCUAGGCUCUAUCUUCACGGUGGAUUUUUCCCUGAUCAGAGUAAUCUUUGCACUUAAUGAAUUUCUCUUAUAACUGUCCUGUCUCAUGACAUGAAUAAGAGUUUAUGCUAUUUUAUGGUUUUCCACCAAGAUCCUUUUUAACCUUCGUUAUUGCAAAAGUACUUAUCUUGAGGAGUCAAAAUGGAAAAAAAGGAACCCUACAAAUUAUCUUGGAUAUUACAAUGUUGGGGGAGAGGCUGAUGUAAUAUAUCUCAGUGUCCCUUUCUUUGUGGUGGACAAAUACUAUUAACUUCCAUUCUGUGGAUAGGAAAAAAAAGUUCUGGAUUAUUGCUGUCAAUUUGUUUAAAAACAUAAUAUUCCAUGGGCCAUUAAGAAAUUGAGAAAUGUUGUGUUUUAUUUCCUUGCUGUGUUUAAGAGAAGUAUAUGAUAGAUCCAUUAAGGGAAGACUAUCAUAAUAAUAAUCAUAACCAUAAUCAUAAGUGACCAUCUUUGUAAAGUGAUUUAUUAUUGACUAAGAUUUUAUCUACAUGCUUGCAUUUACUGUUACUGGCAGGUGGAUAUAGUAUUGACCACAAAGCCUGAUGUCAUCUCUGGGAGUUGAAUUUUAUCUUAUAUAAAUGUCUAAGUAGUAUAUCUAUGUCUCAAGAUGUUUUGGUAAAAUUACACUUUUGUUCCUCUCUCACAACAUUAAUUUGAUGCUUUUAAUGUUUUCUUUUGUAUGCUUUAUUUAAUUUCCCUAAAUACUUUGAGGGUAUUUAUUGUCUUAUUAAUAUUAUUAUCUCUGCAUCAGUUUGUCCAGUGUCUAAAGGAUUGUUGGUGCUUAACAAAUAUGUAUUGAAUUUAAUUUAACUGAGUAGUAGCAUUUUCUUUGAGGGUAAGAUUUUGGAUAAUUUGAUGAGAAAAGCUUCGUGUUAAUUUCUCUUUGGAGGGGAGGGUCUCCAUCGGUAAAUUUUAUGAGAGUUUAAGGGAGGUAUUCAAUUGCCUAAAUCAGCUGAGAAAAUAGUAUCUAAAAUGAAUUAUUUUGUGUGGCAAGGACUCCCUAAAUAAAUAAGAAGAAAUUUGUUUUUUUCUUAUUUUUCUCCUUUAGAUAGCCACAUGAAGUGAACAAGGGGCCUCUCAUAAACUAUUCCAAUAGAGAAAAAGCCUAAUACUUUGAAAUAGUCUUUAGCCAGUGAAGCAUUCUUGCAACACAGGCAUCCUUCUGAGAAGAAUAAAGUAUUGCUUUCAAGUGGGUUAAUGAAGUCAACUGGCACUUAUAAUAUGCUAAGUCAAAUCAUUCUUUUCAACACUCUUUGCUAAUUCCAGAAUUUAAUUUUCAUGCAACUCUAAAAAUUUAACCACAUCAACUUGAGAUCUUAACCCUUCCUGAAAGAAAGAUGUUGUUAAUAAUGACUUUUCUAAAUAAAAUUGCUCAGGUUUAUCCUGAGACAUAUGUCAGUGGUGAUGCUGAGGUAUUAUAUACGUAUGCACACACACAUAUGUAAUAAGUUUGUGAAAAUAUAAAACAAAAUCAUAUUGAUAAUGGUGAUUAGAUAUGCUUUUUAAUGGUAUUUUGUAUGAUCACUCACCAGUUGGUGCAUUAUCUAGACAGGCUCACAAGGCUUUUAAUGGAAGUGAAAAAUGUCCUCCCUAAAACAUGAGCCUACCCCUAAGGAAGUAAAAUGAAUCUCAGUAUACACAAGAAUGGUUCAGCAAAUGCAAUAUG
Equus caballus (horse) is the source of this 3224-nucleotide long non-coding RNA. The record is from Ensembl. NCBI's taxonomy places the organism in Eukaryota, Metazoa, Chordata, Mammalia, Perissodactyla, Equidae.